ACAGAUAAAAGAAUAUAAAGUAUUAUGAGAUAUUUGACAUAUAAAUAUAGACAUGUAUUACAAUUACGACAUGACACAACUAGUACUUAAAAAGGAUGCGUGCUUCCUUCCUAGCCAAUAUCUCAAAGUGCCAGUUAAUUAUACAGGAGGGUUGGCUGAAAGUACUACUUGAUAGGAAACAAGAAUUUGGUCCAAGCCAGAGGUGUACCAAGACGUAAAGACCAAAGACUAUGUUUAAUCAAAUUUUCACAUUAAGAUGAAGAAAAAGUAGUUAAAAGUUACUUUUGUGAUCCUUGUUUUUUAAUUGUGUGAAUGCGAAUCCAAACUUCCUAUAAAAGCAUCUCAACAAGUAAUCUGAAGAAAGAAAAAAAAUAACAAACAACAAUAAUAACAACCAACCAACCCCAAGAUAGAAAUGUAAAGACCUUAAUUUCCAGCAAGAACAUUUGGCUCCGGUCCAGAAUUCUCAUGUGACCACAAGAAGGGUGCAGAACCGAAGAGAGUCCCACUUCCAAUACAGACCAAUAGAGCUAGCUAGCUACAAUAGCAACGAAUCGGACCCCACCCCCGCCAAAUAAACCACGUUAAAGUCAAUCUGGUUCGAUGCAGCAAAUGAAAAGACUAUUACAACUGGUCUUGGUGGGUGCAACUGUCCGUGAUCAUUCAUAACUGUGAUCUUGUCCUCUCUGCUUGUCAUCUACCAAGAACCGACCUCCGCCUGAGAAGAUAUAGCUCAAGCUUUGCCACUUAUAUAUAUAUAUAUAUAUAUAUAUAUUAUCAACAAAUGUUAGGUUGUUAGAAAUAGGACUUGAACUCGUGAUCUGUUUUCUAACAGAUUCCCUCAUUUUUCAAAGUACUACAAUAUAUGUAUGUCAUGACUCAUGACUGGGCCCGUUGCAGCUAGCUCCUACAUUAUUUGCUGACUGCAGUAUAGGUCUAGUGAUCCCUAAUUCAACUAGUCUGUUUCCCAAGUUUCAAAUUUUACAUGUAAUUCGAUGGUUUCAUAUCUCAAUACCAUUUGUUUUUAUUAACUUUCAACUAGAUUUUUGGGGCAAUUAUCCAGUAUCCCCUAGCAAAAAAAUCAGAGACAAAUCACUCGAGGAUAUUGAGAUUCUGUUAGAAAACAGAAUAGGUUGUAGGAUUGAACAUAAAUAGCUGAAGGACCCAACAGAAAUGUGGUAGAACGAAACUAGCAACCACACACAUACAAAGAUGGAGCAAAAACUGAUUUGUUGUAUUUCAGUUAUGCAUCAUAUUUAAAGUGUUACAAUGAGAGUUUAAAUACAAAAGCUAUAAAAGUUUCCUAGUGGGCAGAGCAGAAAGCAAUCAAAUGGCUACCAAGGCUACAAGCAAUUUGAUUGUAUCAUGUCUUGCCAUUAGAGCAAAUUUGUAAAAAAAAAUCAACACCAUGUUGCUAAAAUUAACCUUUUACCACCAAUCUAACUUUUUUUUCCCACAAAACCAUCAAAAUUAAGUUUUGUUAUAUAAACUCACAGAACACUAAUUAUUACCUUUUGAUUAUCACUGUUUACCAAUUGCCAAAUGUUUGGUUUUCUCUAUCAUAUUGAUAUUCUCUUGUAUGAAACUUCUCCAUCAUUCUAUUUCAGCAACUUCAACAUUCAUUCAGUUGUAGCUAAAUUGAAUCUAGCAUAGAUGUCAUUUAAGGUUUUGGUACCUUUCAUUAGAAUAAUGUCACUAUCAUACUUUUCUCCAUCUCAGUAGUUUUGCUCUUACAAAUUGUCUUCUCUAGGCAGUCCCUUUCUUAAGCCUUCAACUUAACAUUUCUCCCAAUUCUGUUUUGAUAGCUCACCAAAUUUCACAUAUUUGCUGACAAGGAUUCUUUUAGUGUCUAAUUCGUGGUCAUAAGAAAACUUGCAAAGCAAACAACCUUGAUCAUCUCUCAAGGAUCUCUGAUUUUUACUGGACAAAAGGUUGAUUUAAGAAUAAAAACAUAUUGCAAGUAGAAAUAGAAAUCAAUUCAAUAAAAAUGACCAAUCCAUUUGUUCAACAUCCAAAUUCUUGAUUCAAUUCUAUUUUGACCUUGAAUUUAACCAAUUAAGCAUCAAUAAUUUCAAUAGAAUACCCACUGAAUUAAGCAACCAUAAUUUAAUUAAUUUAGGUUUGACAGUCAAGUGCCUUCUAAGUCACCAGACCAAUUUCUAAAUUGAUUAUUCUUUUAUCAAGUAAAUGAUUAAGCAUCAAAGACCCUAUCAAUCUCAAUUUGAAUAUGAAAAAUCAUGCAUCACAGUCCCUGAUCAAGAAUACAAACCCAAAUUUAGAUGAUGAUGCAUCAACCCAUAAGAAUUCACAAUCAAGAUUUAAAGAAAAUGAGAAAUAUCGAUAGAGAGAUGAUAUAAAAUAAGAAUUGAAAAGAAGUUUAAAAUCAAACCUCAAAGAAAACGAAAACAACAAAAGGGUAAUAAAGUAAGAGAAAGCCGAGAGUGAUGAAAACCCUAGUGAGAAAUAAAGCACAAAUCAAACUGUAAAGGAUCUCUUAUCAAAUGUCCUAAAAAUAGGUUUAAAUAGAGGCUAGCAAGGAUAAAUUAAGACCUUAGUUUGAAAUUGGAGCUCAUUAGUGUUUUAGUAAGAGCUCAAAUACAAAAGCUAUAAAAUCCCCUUAAGUAGAGCAAAAAGCAAUUAGACUAAUGUGCAAAAUUAAACAUCAUACCAGACCAUUGUUAAUGGAAAACUUCAACUAGUUGUGAGACUCUAAGUGUCAUUUGAAACCUGUUAAAUUAAUUGUCAAGGGAGAAAAUUCAGAAGUUUCAUCUCAAGUACGGGGAGCUGUGGCUUUUUGAUUGUUCAAGAGCCAGUUAUGUAUAGUAGACAGAAAGAUCUGGUUUCUGCUCUCCGUCAAAAUUAAGUUGACUUUCAAAUUCAAGUAGCUGGCUUUCUUUUCUUUGUCAGUGUCAACAAAGACCAAAAUAUCAGUC
Molecule: long non-coding RNA, 2933 nt
Filed under: Glycine max (soybean)
Lineage: Eukaryota; Viridiplantae; Streptophyta; Magnoliopsida; Fabales; Fabaceae
Description: long non-coding RNA (GMAX_LNC000250)
Source: RNAcentral